This 1648-nucleotide ribosomal RNA is filed under the name Escherichia coli. Its description in RNAcentral is "bacterial LSU rRNA". It matches the Rfam family "Bacterial large subunit ribosomal RNA", at positions 662 to 2292 of the family's 2925-position model. Lineage: Bacteria; Pseudomonadati; Pseudomonadota; Gammaproteobacteria; Enterobacterales; Enterobacteriaceae. The record is from RNAcentral.
GGAGCCGAAGGGAAACCGAGUCUUAACUGGGCGUUAAGUUGCAGGGUAUAGACCCGAAACCCGGUGAUCUAGCCAUGGGCAGGUUGAAGGUUGGGUAACACUAACUGGAGGACCGAACCGACUAAUGUUGAAAAAUUAGCGGAUGACUUGUGGCUGGGGGUGAAAGGCCAAUCAAACCGGGAGAUAGCUGGUUCUCCCCGAAAGCUAUUUAGGUAGCGCCUCGUGAAUUCAUCUCCGGGGGUAGAGCACUGUUUCGGCAAGGGGGUCAUCCCGACUUACCAACCCGAUGCAAACUGCGAAUACCGGAGAAUGUUAUCACGGGAGACACACGGCGGGUGCUAACGUCCGUCGUGAAGAGGGAAACAACCCAGACCGCCAGCUAAGGUCCCAAAGUCAUGGUUAAGUGGGAAACGAUGUGGGAAGGCCCAGACAGCCAGGAUGUUGGCUUAGAAGCAGCCAUCAUUUAAAGAAAGCGUAAUAGCUCACUGGUCGAGUCGGCCUGCGCGGAAGAUGUAACGGGGCUAAACCAUGCACCGAAGCUGCGGCAGCGACGCUUAUGCGUUGUUGGGUAGGGGAGCGUUCUGUAAGCCUGCGAAGGUGUGCUGUGAGGCAUGCUGGAGGUAUCAGAAGUGCGAAUGCUGACAUAAGUAACGAUAAAGCGGGUGAAAAGCCCGCUCGCCGGAAGACCAAGGGUUCCUGUCCAACGUUAAUCGGGGCAGGGUGAGUCGACCCCUAAGGCGAGGCCGAAAGGCGUAGUCGAUGGGAAACAGGUUAAUAUUCCUGUACUUGGUGUUACUGCGAAGGGGGGACGGAGAAGGCUAUGUUGGCCGGGCGACGGUUGUCCCGGUUUAAGCGUGUAGGCUGGUUUUCCAGGCAAAUCCGGAAAAUCAAGGCUGAGGCGUGAUGACGAGGCACUACGGUGCUGAAGCAACAAAUGCCCUGCUUCCAGGAAAAGCCUCUAAGCAUCAGGUAACAUCAAAUCGUACCCCAAACCGACACAGGUGGUCAGGUAGAGAAUACCAAGGCGCUUGAGAGAACUCGGGUGAAGGAACUAGGCAAAAUGGUGCCGUAACUUCGGGAGAAGGCACGCUGAUAUGUAGGUGAAGUCCCUCGCGGAUGGAGCUGAAAUCAGUCGAAGAUACCAGCUGGCUGCAACUGUUUAUUAAAAACACAGCACUGUGCAAACACGAAAGUGGACGUAUACGGUGUGACGCCUGCCCGGUGCCGGAAGGUUAAUUGAUGGGGUUAGCGCAAGCGAAGCUCUUGAUCGAAGCCCCGGUAAACGGCGGCCGUAACUAUAACGGUCCUAAGGUAGCGAAAUUCCUUGUCGGGUAAGUUCCGACCUGCACGAAUGGCGUAAUGAUGGCCAGGCUGUCUCCACCCGAGACUCAGUGAAAUUGAACUCGCUGUGAAGAUGCAGUGUACCCGCGGCAAGACGGAAAGACCCCGUGAACCUUUACUAUAGCUUGACACUGAACAUUGAGCCUUGAUGUGUAGGAUAGGUGGGAGGCUUUGAAGUGUGGACGCCAGUCUGCAUGGAGCCGACCUUGAAAUACCACCCUUUAAUGUUUGAUGUUCUAACGUUGACCCGUGAUCCGGGUUGCGGACAGUGUCUGGUGGGUAGUUUGACUGGGGCGGUCUCCUCCUA